UCUCCGUAGGUGAACCUGCGGAGGGAUCAUUACAGAGUUCAUGCCCUCACGGGUAGAUCUCCCACCCUGUGUUAUUAUACUUUGUUGCUUUGGCAGGCCGCCCGCGUGGGCUACCGGCUCCAGCUGGUAAGUGCCUGCCAGAGGACCCCAAACUCUGAAUAUUUUAUUGUCUGAGUACUAUAUAAUAGUUUAAAACUUUCAACAACGGAUCUCUUGGUUCUG
RNAcentral lists this unclassified non-coding RNA (222 nucleotides) under plant metagenome. RNAcentral's name for it is "partial contains small subunit ribosomal RNA, internal transcribed spacer 1, and 5.8S ribosomal RNA". The record is from RNAcentral.